CUACGGAAGGUCCGGGCGUUAUCCGGAUUUAUUGGGUUUAAAGGGAGCGCAGGCGGAGAUGCAAGCGCGACGUCAAAUUUCGGGGCUCAACCCCGUCUCGCGUCGCGAACUGCGUCCCUUGGUUGCGGGAAGGGGAGGCGGAACUCGUGGUGUAGCGGGGAAAUGCAUAGAUAUCACGAAGAACUCCGAUCGCGAAGGCAGCCUUCCGGCCCGUCAACGACGCUCAUGCUCGAAGGUGCGGGUAUCAAACAGGAUUAGAUACCCUGGUAGUCCGCACAGUAAACGAUGGACACCCGCGGUUUGGCCUGUAUGGCUGAGCCGCCAAGCGAAAGCGUUAAGUGUCCCACCUGGGGAGUACGCCGGCAACGGUGAAACUCAAAGGAAUUGACGGGG
This 393-nucleotide ribosomal RNA is filed under the name uncultured bacterium. RNAcentral describes it as "partial 16S ribosomal RNA". It matches the Rfam family "Bacterial small subunit ribosomal RNA", at positions 523 to 918 of the family's 1533-position model. The record is from RNAcentral.